AGAAUCAACGCUGGCGGCGUGCCUAACACAUGCAAGUCGAACGCGAAAGUGGAGCAAUCCAUUAGUAGAGUGGCAAACGGGUGAGUAACACGUGGGCGACCUACCUCAGAGUGGGGGAUAACCUUCCGAAAGGAGGGCUAAUACCGCAUGACAUCCCGUGUUUGGAUACACGGAGAUCAAAGCCGGGGAUCGCAAGACCUGGCGCUUGGAGGACGGGGCCCGCGUCCGAUUAGCUAGUUGGUGAGGUAACGGCUCACCAAGGCUCCGAUCGGUA
This 274-nucleotide ribosomal RNA is filed under the name uncultured soil bacterium. RNAcentral describes it as "partial 16S ribosomal RNA". It matches the Rfam family "Bacterial small subunit ribosomal RNA", at positions 26 to 285 of the family's 1533-position model. The record is from RNAcentral.